CAUAUUAGAGUUUAAUUUUUGAAUUUUUCUUUUACAUUGAAAAGGUCUCUUUGCUGAGUGGUAUGAAAU
RNAcentral lists this transfer RNA (69 nucleotides) under Riukiaria falcifera. RNAcentral describes it as "tRNA-Val". The record is from RNAcentral. Lineage: Eukaryota; Metazoa; Arthropoda; Diplopoda; Polydesmida; Xystodesmidae.